CCAUGUUCCCUUCCACCUAGAUUGAAAUAUUUUUGUUAAUGCCCAUGGGAGAAAAUGGAUUCUCUUGCAAUCUCAAACACACACUUUAUAUCAUGUCAUUUAGAAGUGUGGUAAUGCUUUUAACCACCUGGAUGUCAGUUCCUGAGCCUUCUUUGAGAUGAAGACAAAAGAUAGCCACUUUUAAAUUUUUCUUCUUUAUAUAGCUCAAGCAAUAUGCAUGUCAGACUCAUGUGAAUUGUCAGAACCGCCCCAGCUCUGUGUUAGGACGGUAAGUGUCUUUUCAAUCUUGGAGAAAGCAGUCGAUGGCACACAGAAUACAAGGAGCCCCUGACUCUAACAACUUACACUGCUGACAGCCCUGUGUUUGUAUCUUCUCCUCCUUUGUUUGCAGUGGUUUCAGGUCAGAAAGCACAGAAGCUCUCAGCCCUGUGACUCUAACAAUCGGUGCAGCUCCAGCCCGGUUGGUCUUUGACAUCAAUGUGCAACAAUCAAGUUCUCUAUUUCUACCCUGACUAUGUCACACGAGAGAGCCUGACCUGGGUGGGGUGAUAUGAGGAAACUGGAUACCUUCCCAGACACUCAUGCGUCAGGUGUCUGCAGCCCCAAUUCUUUUGUUCGAAGAGAAUUUCCUGGAACAUCACCCGUUGUCUGUUAUCAAUGCAAUAACACAUCCAUUGCCAAGAGGUGUCCUUUGGGGCCACACCAGUAGACAUACAGGCAUCCUCCUCUUCAGGAAGGGAUUAUGGUCUGCAGACAGGAGGCAGGGGGUCCUCUUUACAGCAUCUCUGGGGCAAUGGUGGGAGUCUGAAUGUUAGUCUAAGAGUACUCAGUGUAGAAAUGGGCUGAGGUCGGGGUCUUCAUUUUUGAAAGACGCUCUAUCAGCAACGUGGUUGAGAGAACAGAGAGACUGACAGGCCAAGGGAGAUAGCGGGUCACUCUCACAUACUUCCUGUACCCCAACUGUGUGGGCCAGAGGCACCAGAGACAGAGUCUGCUGCUGUCCUCCUGGAGCUGAUGGGGGUGAAGAAUAUAAACAGAACCACGGGAAGAUCUUUCCCUGCAGUGGUAAGUGCCAUGCAGAAAAUAAAACUGGGUGCCGUGGUAACUCCUGACCAGGACGUGGGGGAUGGUCACUUGUUCUAAUGUGUUGGAGGAAGGGUCUUUCUGAGGAAAUGGCGUUUGUGCUGAGUGGGGAUAUAUGAAGCAUAUGAAAGGGGAAGUAGGGACCAGGGGCCUUCUGUACUUAAGGAAGCAGCUGCGCACAGGACUUGGGGAAGGAAUGGGUUGGGCAUGGGGCUAGGGAUCCCUAAACAACGGUAGAGGGGCAAGCAAAGUCAGCCCUACAGGUCAUCCUGUCCACACUCAGGAGUUGGGUUUCAUACUGAGGGAGUGAGAAACCACAUGGGGUUUGAGCAGAGAGGCCAAUGAGGAAGCAAGAAGCCCAACAAAAUAAAUGUCGUGGACCCUAUCCAGCACCACACGCUUCUGUAAAUAGAUGUGCCCAGUCGUUUACAUGUUAUCUAUGGCUGCUUACAUAACCAUAAGAGCACCAUUGAGCACUAACACCAAAACCCACCUUCUCUGUGCAGCGUCAAUUCUUUUCCUACUUCCUGGCCCUUCAUAAGAAAUUCUUGGUUCCUAAUCUAAAUGGUGUCUUCCAAAGUUGGCUGUGCCUGCUGUUUGGGGUCAUGUCAUAUUGCAGCAUCAUGGAGGGGAGUGAGCAGGUCACUGCAGGACAGGACCUUGGGAUGAGCGGUCCAGAGCAUCAGUGCCUGCUAGGGAUGUUCUCCCAGCAUCAGAGGCAUGGAGGCCAGGCUGGGCCUGUCAGGCUCAUCUCUCUGGGUAUGUACUUACUGCUGCUAAUACCAGAGGCUGCCCAGGCAGGCAGACUCUGCUUCACUCCAUCAGAGUUUAACUGUUGAUCACAGAACCCCCCAGCCAAGCCAUCACUGCCUGUCCUUUGUCUUCGGCACCUCAUCACCAAUUUGGGGCUUGGGAGUCGACAUGGGCCAAGCAGCUGUUUCCCAUUACCUGUCUGUCCCUCAUGCCCACACGGCUCCCAGCAGUGAGCGGGAGGCUCCAAGAGAAUCGGAUCCUAUUUCCAAAUCCCAGGGCAGACUGGUUUUGUUUUGUUUCUUAAGAAAAAAAAACAUUAAAUAAGUAAAAUAGUUGAACACUGUGUUAGAAAACUAACCCCAAACAUCUGGGGGUUUUGUGCUAUGGCAGCUUAUUUUCAUUCCAUUGGUUCUAACUGAUAAAUACAGAAUAAUUGAAUUAGUCUAUUUUGGGAGGCGGGAAACCACUGGUGUUAUGUAAAGAAAUGGCAAAGGCAGAGCACGAAGAAUUGGGGUGACACAGACGCUAUCUGAGCAUCUCACCAGAGUGAAGGGGUCAGAAUGGACUUCACAUUUACUCUCAUAAGCAUUAAUAUAGUGGUUACUGCUGUAUGUGGUAAAACAAGGGCUUUGCCCUCCAGGGAUUCAUGAUCCGCUAACAGUAAAUACAACUGUGAUGCCAGGACAAUGCAAUAAAGGCAAGCACCGUAGAGGUCCUUCAUGAUCGUGCCAAUCCUCUGACAUAGGUGCUGUCCCCCUAGUUUUAGACUGGGACAUGAAGAGUAAACACACAAUUGGGGGUUGAAGCCAAAUGAAUCUCUUUAGAUGGCAGAACCAUUGAUCCAGUCCAGGCAAGCUCCAGGCAGGUAGGCUUCAGCCACAAGAAAAACUUUAUCUCUCCUUGCUCUUUGGCUUUUGUUUAACUGUAAGAUCUCUCAGUUUUAUAAGCCAAGAUGCCACUACAUUGUGACACCAGAGGCAUAGUUGUUAGGUCUUGGAUUUUCAACAUCCAAAAUUAUGAGCUUAUAAAAUAGCCAGCAUUAGGCAUGUUGUCACAAAUACAGAAAAUGGAAACACACACCACACACACACACACACACACACACACACACACACACACACACACAAACACACACACACACACACACACCCUUGUCUUCUGAGUUUCUCUUAUGAAACUCCUCUUAACAAUACAAAGGAAAUGGGAGGGGGCUGCUGGAGAGAUUGCUCAGUGGUUAAGAGCACUGACUGUUCUUCCAGAGGUCCUGAGUUCAAUUCCCAGCAACCACAUGGUGGCUCACAACCAUCCGUUAUGAGAUCUGGUGCCCUCUUCUGGUGUGCAGAUAUACAUGGAAGCAGAGUGUUG
Molecule: long non-coding RNA, 3201 nt
Filed under: Cricetulus griseus (Chinese hamster)
Lineage: Eukaryota; Metazoa; Chordata; Mammalia; Rodentia; Cricetidae
Description: lncRNA (ENSCGRG00015029356.1)
Source: RNAcentral